ACGGAGGGUGCAAGCGUUAUCCGGAUUUAUUGGGUUUAAAGGGUCCGCAGGCGGAUCGUUAAGUCAGUGGUGAAAGCCUACCGCUCAACGGUAGAACUGCCAUUGAUACUGGCGAUCUUGAAUAUGUAUGAAGUUGGCGGAAUGUGUGGUGUAGCGGUGAAAUGCUUAGAUAUCACACAGAACACCGAUUGCGAAGGCAGCUGACUAAUACAGUAUUGACGCUGAGGGACGAAAGUGUGGGGAUCAAACAGG
RNAcentral lists this ribosomal RNA (252 nucleotides) under uncultured bacterium. RNAcentral describes it as "partial 16S ribosomal RNA". It matches the Rfam family "Bacterial small subunit ribosomal RNA", at positions 525 to 776 of the family's 1533-position model. The record is from RNAcentral.